GUAGGUGGCAAGCGUUAUCCGGAAUUAUUGGGCGUAAAGCGCGCGUAGGCGGUUUUUAAGUCUGAUGUGAAAGCCCACGGCUCAACCGUGGAGGGUCAUUGGAAACUGGAAAACUUGAGUGCAGAAGAGGAAAGUGGAAUUCCAUGUGUAGCGGUGAAAUGCGCAGAGAUAUGGAGGAACACCAGUGGCGAAGGCGACUUUCUGGUCUGUAACUGACGCUGAUGUGCGAAAGCGUGGGGAUCAAACAGGAUUAGAUACCCUGGUAGUCCACGCCGUAAACGAUGAGUGCUAAGUGUUAGGGGGGUUUUCCGCCCCCCUUAGUGCUGCAGCUAACGCAUUAAGCACUCCGCCUGGGAGUACGACCGCAAGGUUG
This 373-nucleotide ribosomal RNA is filed under the name uncultured organism. RNAcentral describes it as "partial 16S ribosomal RNA". It matches the Rfam family "Bacterial small subunit ribosomal RNA", at positions 527 to 896 of the family's 1533-position model. The record is from RNAcentral.